AUAACAUCAAAAAUGAUCAGUGCAGAGGACCUCAGGGUCAGUUAGCCUGAGGGCUCAGAGCAACAGCAUCUACUGAACAUUUACCCACAAUGAGCUAAAGUCUCCUCCAUGUGUGCAUAGCUUCAUAGACUCACAAGGACAUCUUUCUCCAAUGACCAUCUGUCUUCCUCUUGCACCAAUCAAGGGGGGCAGAAUAUAGCUAAGCAGGAAAUCCAAGCAGAGAUACAAGGAGAAAGAAGGCAAAGUCCAGAAAGAGGCACCAGCAGCCACUGGAGGAGAAAGAAGUCAGAGCAUCUAUGUGGCUACAUGGCAUCUCCCUGGUGGCUCCUCUCUGUGUUCCUCUCCCCAGAAUGCUCCUCAUCUUGUAGCCCUGCCUAUACUUCCUGCCUGGCUACUGGAAAUCAGCAUUUAUUCAUCAACCAACAAGAGAAACAUAUAUUCACAGCACAUAGAAGUACAUCCCCCGUCACAUCAUACUAAGCGGAAAUCAAGUUCAAUUUCAGAAGAACCAACAACCAUCUCAAAGACUCAUCCUGCUUCUCCACAGCAACAUUUUCCUGCUGACAGAGGUGCUCUUCAUCUGCCCUUAGAAAGCUGCCUAAUAGAAUUUCACUGUCAUCUACAGACAGCUCUGCCCGGAGUUUAUUUUUAGUCUCUUUUGAUGCUGUCAGCACGUCUUCAUAACAGAACAACCAAAUUCAUAAAGAGGUGCUAUACAUUGCUUAUUAAGUAACAGUAGUUCUCAAAAAGAUGUAAAUGUCAUCUGCUACUGGGCAGAUAAGGCUGAUCCCAAGCAUCAGUUUAUAGAAAUUAGAAGAUAAUUUCUAUAAUACAAACACCAUCAUCAUCCCUAUUGUUAUGAACAUAGCAACAGCACACGGGGCCUAAGGCGGCCUCUGAAAGCCUCAGAGAAAGGUUCAUUAGUAGGACAAGCUGUUUAGGAGAUGGUUUGUCCAUAUGUUUAAGGCAGAAUAAACAACAGUUGUCUUUAUUGCUAUCAACACUGUGGAAGUUAUUUUAAAACCACAACCCAGGAAAAAAAUAAAACAGGUAUGCUGAUCAUUGUGGCAGUUGUUGGUUUAGAUCUGUCCUUUGAGGGUUGCUACUAGCAACAAGAAAAUUAAGCUAAAGGAAUUUUAAUCAAAUAAAUACGACUUUGUACCUACUGAUCAUAUAUCCUGGUGCGUUGUAAAGUGAGUAACAGAAAAUACUGAUCUGAGUUCUCUGGACAGAAACUUUAAAAAUCUUAAAACAGCAGUCGUCCAUCAUGAGAUGUAAAUGUUGGAGUCAGGAAGAAUAUCCGUUGAGUGUGUGAAGCAUCUCCUGGCUCUGCAGAACCUGAAGCAGUGAGAUUUAUUUUCUUGGCACUCAAGCACAGAGGCAGAGAUAAAAUUAAAUACACAGCAUUUGAACUAGAAAGUGAUCUGAGCUCCAAUAAUGCCGAAGGUAAUCCUGCAGGCUUUGAUCCAUUGAGCACAUUCGACCUUGUGUACAUUCGACAAAUAAAACCUUAAUAACAAAAAUCUAAUAGCGCCAAGAUGAAGUAACUGAAGCUUAAUUGAGCAGUAGUCUGGAUGUUUACAUAUCAGUACUGAUUUCUUCCUCAUGUGUCUAUGGAUAUGACGGAUGACCAAUCUUCC
RNAcentral lists this long non-coding RNA (1640 nucleotides) under Cricetulus griseus (Chinese hamster). Its description in RNAcentral is "lncRNA (ENSCGRG00015036810.1)". The record is from RNAcentral. Lineage: Eukaryota; Metazoa; Chordata; Mammalia; Rodentia; Cricetidae.